Molecule: long non-coding RNA, 3718 nt
Organism: Oncorhynchus tshawytscha (Chinook salmon)
Lineage: Eukaryota; Metazoa; Chordata; Actinopteri; Salmoniformes; Salmonidae
Source: Ensembl
UAGUUUAUGUUCUCCUUUCAUCAGCCUGAAGUGUAAGGCCAUUAUGGUGUCCAAGAUCUGUAAACUAACAGACAACGUUAUUCAUUAGCACACCCUGAGAUUGAUGCAUGUCUUGCCCUGCUUCCUUAACCCACACAUCUGAAUCAACAUCUUUAAUGGAUUGCAUUAUGAACCACUCCAUUGUUAGUGAGCUGAACCUUAUUCACUAGACAGAUCUUAUCCACCAGACAGAUCUUAUUCACCAGACAGGUCUUAUCCACCAGACAGAUCUUAUCCACCAGACAGGACUUAUCCACCAGACAGAUCUUAUCCACCAGACAGAUAUUAUCCACCAGACAGAUAUUAUCCAUCAGACAGCUCUUAUCCACCAGACAGUUAUUAUCCACCAAACAGAGCUUAUCCACCAGACAGAUCUUAUCCACCAGACAGAUCUUAUCCACCAGACAGAUCUUAUCCACCAGACAGAUCUUAUCCACCAGACAGAUAUUAUUCACCAGACAGCUCUUAUCCAUCAGACCGAUCUUAUCCACCAGACAGGUAUUAUCCACCAGACAGGUCUUAUCCACCAGACAGGUCUUAUCCACCAGACAGGUCUUAUCCACCAGACAGGUCUUAUCCACCAGACAGGACUUAUCCACCAGACAGAUUUAACCCACCAGACAGGACUUAUCCACCAGACAGGUAUUAUCCACCAGACAGAUAUUAUCCACCAGACAGAUAUUAUCCACCAGACAGAUAUUAUCCACCAGACAGAUAUUAUUCACCAGACAGCUCUUAUUCACCCGACAGCUCUUAUCCACCAGACAGUUAAUAUCUACCAGACAGAUAUUAUUCACCAGACAGAUCUUAUCCACCAGACAGAUCUUAUCCACCAGACAGAUCUUAUCCACCAGACAGGUCUUAUCCACCAGACAGCUCUUAUCCACCAGACAGCUUUUAUCCACCAGACAGCUCUUAUCCACCAGACAGCUCUUAUCCACCAGACAGUUGUUAUCCACCAGACAGCUCUUAUCCACCAGACAGUUAUUAUCCACCAGACAGAUAUUAUCCACCAGACAGAUAUUAUCCACCAGGCAAGUCUUACCCACCAGACAGAUUUGACCCACUAGACAGGACUUAUCCACCAGACAGAUCUUAUCCACCAGACAGCUCUUAUCCACCAGACAGCUCUUAUCCACCAGACAUCUCUUAUCCACCAGACAGUUGUUAUCCACCAGACAGCUCUUAUCCACCAGACAGCACUUAUCCACCAGACAGUUAUUAUCCACCAGACAGGUGUUAUCCACCAGACAGGUGUUAUUCACCAGACAGGUAUUAUUAAUCAACAUCUUCCUUAACCCACACAUCUGAAUCAACAUCUUUAAUGGAUUGCAUUAUGAACCACUCCAUUGUUAGUGAGCUGAACCUUAUUCACCAGACAUAUAUUAUCCACCAGACAGAUCUUAUUCACCAGACAGGUCUUAUCCACCAGACAGAUAUUAUCCACCAGAAAGAUCGUAUUCACCAGACAGGUCUUAUCCACCAGACAGGACUUAUCCACCAGACAGGUCUUAUCCACCAGACAGAUAUUAUUCACCAGACAGGUCUUAUCCACCAGACAGAUAUUAUUCACCAGACAGUUAUUAUCCACCAGACAGCUCUUAUUCACCACCACCAGACAAAUGUGAUGUAACAUGUUGUUUUCCAAAAAAAAUGAUCUUUACCAACUUUGUUGAAUGAGUCAUCCUGUUUUUCCUCCACUCCUCCAUCUCUUUCUCUCUCCUUAUGUUUUCUUUUUGUUCUCUCACUUUCUCAAUCACUCUUUCUGCACCCGUCUGUCCACCUUGAUAAGUCUUUCAGAGUAUUCGUGUGUGAGUGUGUGUGUGUAAGAAAGGCAUAGCGAGAGAGACAGAGAAAGGGUGGGUGACAGUGCUCCAUCUCCCUGUGUGCCAGAGCAGCAGAGUGGCAGGUUGCCUAGCCGUGGGGCCUCUAAUGAAGAGAGUCUGUGUGCUUUAUCGAUUGACUCAGUCACCUGAUGCGUGGCUGGGCCCGUUAAUGGCCUAAUGGGAUGACACACUGAGAGAGGAAAUACCAAGGGGAGCACCAGGUGUGUGUGUGUACUGUGUAUGUAUAGUGUGUGUUUGUGUGUGUGUACUAUAAGAGUGUGUUUGUGUGGGUAUAGGCUUAUUUGUGCAUGAUUGUGUAUCUGUAUGUCAUCACUGCCUCUACGUAAAAAAAGAGACAGGGUUUAAUUGGUGUUACAGUGAAGUAUUUGGAUAUCACACUAUUGGCCACUGUGUUAGAGCUGAUAUCAGCAGCAUAUUGCAGGUACUUCCAUCCACACACCUCAUUAUGUCUCUCCUCCUCUGUCCGUAGGUUGUUGGUUUUGGUUGCGUAAUACAUCUUAAGCCUGCCCAUUAAAUAUGAAUGAACAACUGAUUUUCUCAUCCAUCUUUCAUGACUUUCAUUUGUUGAGCUAUUUGCCUCCAAAAAAUAUUGUGUUGGAUGUUCUUUUCGCGAUUUCUGAAUCAGCGUUUUCUCACAGCACCUUGUUCAGUCUACUGAAAAAAAUAAAUGUACUGUGACUUGUUUUUCUACCGCUGUCGUGCACUGGGCUCUAGCCCGUGAGCCCAAAUGGUGUUCUUGUUAAUGGUACAUGAUAGAGUCAUCCUAGAUUCUGAUCACAUGACCCUCAUGUCAUGUCUACGUGUGCAUAUCUGAGGGUCUUUGUGUGUAUUAUGUCUGAGCGUAUAUGUGUGUGGUGGUCAUAGCCAGUGAUCUAGGCAGCAGUAUGUCUUCUGUUGCUCCAAUUUAUACUGACAUUAUUAACAUGUUACAGAAUGGAAUAAUAACAUCAUAAAAAAUGCUUUUUAGAGUAUAUGCCAUAUGGGGAUAUUCAUGUCGGUAUAGAGUACAUACAGUAGCCUACAUAUGAACGUCCCAACUGUGUUAGCCCGUUGAGCUAAAGCCUAGGCAUUGGCUCUGGCUCUCACUUCACCAAAAGACCCCUUGACUUUUGCCACAUUUUGUUAUGUUACAGCCUUAUUCUAAAAUGGAUCAAAUCUAAAAUUUCCCUCAUCAAUCUACACACAAUACCCCAUAAUGACAAAGUGAAUACAGGUUUUGUCAUUUGUAAAACAACCAAACAACAGAAAUGCCUUAUUUACAUACGUUUUCAGACUCUUUCCUAUGAGACUGUAAAUUGAGCUCAGGUGCAUCCUGUUUCCAUUGAUCAUCCUUGAGAUGUUUCUACAAGUAGAUUUGAGUCCACCUCUGGUAAAUUCAAUUGAUUGGACAUGAUUUGGAAAGGCACACACCUAUCUAUGUAAGGUCCCACAGUUGACAGUGCAUGUCAGACCAAAAACCAAGCAAUGAGGUCGAAGGAAUUGACGGUGGAGCUCCGAGACAGGAUUGUGUUGAGGCACAGAUCUGGGGAAGGGUUCCCAAAAAUGUCUGCAGCAUUGAAGGUCCCCAAGAACACAGUGGCCUCCAUCAUUCUUAAAUGAUCAAGGCCCUUCUCCCCCGAUUGCUCAGUUUGAGCUGGCCACCCGGCCAAACUGAGCAAUCGGGGGAGAAGGGCCUCGAUCAGGGAGGUUACCCUGAAACCAAUGGUCACUCUGACAGAGCUCCAGAGUUCCUCUGUGGAGUUGGGAGAACCUUCCAGAAGGACAACCAUCUCUGCACCACUCCACCAAUCAGGCAAUUAUGGUAGAGUGGCUAGAAGGAAGCUACUCCUCAG